GACGAACGCUGGCGGCGCGCCUAACACAUGCAAGUCGAACGAGAGAGAAGGAGCUUGCUUCUUCGAUCGAGUGGCGAACGGGUGAGUAACGCGUGAGGAACCUGCCUCAAAGAGGGGGACAACAGUUGGAAACGACUGCUAAUACCGCAUAAGCCCACGGGUCGGCAUCGACCUGAGGGAAAAGGAGCAAUCCGCUUUGAGAUGGCCUCGCGUCCGAUUAGCUAGUUGGUGAGGUAACGGCCCACCAAGGCGACGAUCGGUAGCCGGACUGAGAGGUUGAACGGCCACAUUGGGACUGAGACACGGCCCAGACUCCUACGGGAGGCAGCAGUGGGGAAUAUUGCACAAUGGGGGAAACCCUGAUGCAGCGACGCCGCGUGGAGGAAGAAGGUCUUCGGAUUGUAAACUCCUGUUGUUGAGGAAGAUAAUGACGGUACUCAACAA
This 444-nucleotide ribosomal RNA is filed under the name uncultured bacterium. RNAcentral describes it as "bacterial SSU rRNA". It matches the Rfam family "Bacterial small subunit ribosomal RNA", at positions 28 to 485 of the family's 1533-position model. The record is from RNAcentral.